GGAGGGUGCAAGCGUUGUCCGGAAUUAUUGGGUGUAAAGGGUGCGCAGGCGUCCCGGGAAGUUUUCGGUGAAAUCCUUCAGCUUAACUGAAGAAGGGCCGGAAAAACUCCCGGGAUUGAGUCCGGAAGAGGUUGGUGGAAUUCGUGGUGUAGCGGUGAAAUGCAUAGAGAUCACGAAGAACACCGGUGGCGAAGGCGGCCAACUGGUCCGGUACUGACGCUGAGGCACGAGAGCGUGGGGAGCGAACAGGAUUAGAUACCCUGGUUGUCCACGCUGUAAACGAUGUAUGCUAGUUGUCGGCCCCUCGGGGCCGGUGACGCAGUUAACGCGCUAAGCAUACCACCUGGGGAGUACGUUCGCAAGAAUG
Molecule: ribosomal RNA, 367 nt
Filed under: uncultured bacterium
Lineage: Bacteria
Description: bacterial SSU rRNA
Rfam family: Bacterial small subunit ribosomal RNA
Source: RNAcentral